RNAcentral lists this ribosomal RNA (476 nucleotides) under uncultured bacterium. RNAcentral's name for it is "partial 16S ribosomal RNA". It matches the Rfam family "Bacterial small subunit ribosomal RNA", at positions 421 to 876 of the family's 1533-position model. The record is from RNAcentral.
GGUUGUAAAGCACUUUCAGCGAGGAGGAAAGGGUGGAAGCUAAUACCUUUUCAUCUGUGACGUCUACUCGCAGAAGANGCACCGGCCUAACUUCCGUGCCAGCAGCCGCGGUAAUACGGAGGGUGCAAGCGUUUAAUCGGAAUUACNUGGGCGUAAAGCGCACGCAGGCGGUCAGAAUAAGUUCAGAUGUGAAAGCCCCCGGGCUUCAACCNUGGGAACNUGCAUUUGAAACNUGUUCNUGACCAGAGUUCNUUGUAGAGGGGGGUUAGAAAUNUCCAGGUUGUUAGCGGUUGAAAUGCGUUAGAGANUCNUGGAGGAANUACCCGGUGGCCGAAGGCGGCCCCCUUGGACAAAGACNUGACGCUUCAGGUUGCCGAAAGCCUUGGGGAGCAAACAGGACUUAGANUACCCCUUGGUUAGUUCCCAAGGGCCGAAAUUUNUGCAGAAUNUCCAUCACAAUUGGCCGGCCCGCUUCG